Molecule: ribosomal RNA, 495 nt
Filed under: uncultured bacterium
Lineage: Bacteria
Description: partial 16S ribosomal RNA
Rfam family: Bacterial small subunit ribosomal RNA
Source: RNAcentral
GACGAACGCUGGCGGCGUGCCUAACACAUGCAAGUAGAACGGUGAAGGAGUAGCUGGCUUCUCUGGAUGAGUUGCGGACGGGUGAGUAACGCGUAGGCAACCUACCUGGUAGCGGGGGAGAACUAUAGGAAGCGAUAGUUAAUACCGUAUAAUAGCAGUUCUUGGAUGAUAACUGUGUGAAAGUUGGAAUUUGACCGCUACCAGAUGCACCUGCCUUGUUUUAGCGAGUUGGGGGGGUAACGGCUCACCAAGGCGGCGAUACAUAGACGAUCUGAGAGGGUGAUCGGCCACACUGGGACUGAGACACGGCCCAGACUCCUACGGGAGGCAGCAGUAGGGAAUCUUCGGCAAUGGACGGAAGUCUGACCGAGCACCGCCGCGUGAGUGAAGAAGGGUUUCGGAUCGUAAAGCUCUGUUGUAAGAGAAGAACGAGUGUGAGGGUGGAAAGUCCACACUGUGACGGUACCUUAAGAGUAAGCACCGGCUAACUACGUG